CCCUGGGGUUCUGAGGACAUG
RNAcentral lists this microRNA (21 nucleotides) under Homo sapiens (human). RNAcentral's name for it is "hsa-miR-6852-5p". The record is from miRBase by way of RNAcentral. Lineage: Eukaryota; Metazoa; Chordata; Mammalia; Primates; Hominidae.